Molecule: ribosomal RNA, 478 nt
Filed under: uncultured bacterium
Lineage: Bacteria
Description: partial 16S ribosomal RNA
Rfam family: Bacterial small subunit ribosomal RNA
Source: RNAcentral
GAUGAACGCUGGCGGCGUGCUUAACACAUGCAAGUCGAACGGGAAACCUUUUAUUGAAGCUUCGGCAGAUUUAGCUGGUUUCUAGUGGCGGACGGGUGAGUAACGCGUGGGUAACCUGCCUUAUACAGGGGGAUAACAACCAGAAAUGGUUGCUAAUACCGCAUAAGCGCACAGGACCGCAUGGUCCGGUGUGAAAAACUCCGGUGGUAUAAGAUGGACCCGCGUUGGAUUAGCUAGUUGGCAGGGUAACGGCCUACCAAGGCGACGAUCCAUAGCCGGCCUGAGAGGGUGAACGGCCACAUUGGGACUGAGACACGGCCCAGACUCCUACGGGAGGCAGCAGUGGGGAAUAUUGCACAAUGGGGGAAACCCUGAUGCAGCGACGCCGCGUGAAGGAAGAAGUAUCUCGGUAUGUAAACUUCUAUCAGCAGGGAAGUUAGUGACGGUACCUGACUAAGAAGCCCCGGCUAACUACGUG